CUUAACCCUUGCAGUCGAGCGGUACAGGAAUWAGCUUGCUAUUCGCUGACAGCGGCGGACGGKUGAGUAAUGCCUGGGAAUAUGCCUUAGUGUGGGGGAUAACUAUKGGAAMCGAUAGCUAAUACCGCAUAAGGUCUUCGGACCAAAGAGGGGAUCUUCGGACCUCUCGCGYUAAGAUUAGCCCAGGUGAGAUWAGCUAGUUGUGAGGUAAGAGCUCACCAAGGCGACGAUCUCUAGCUGGUCUGAGAGGAUGAUCAGCCACACUGGAACUGAGACACGGUCCAGACUCCUACGGGAGGCAGCAGUGGGGAAUAUUGCACAAUGGGCGAAAGCCUGAUGCAGCCAUGCCGCGUGUAUGAAGAAGGCUUCGGGUUGUAAAGUACUUUCAGUCGUGAGGAAGGGUGUGUAGUUAAUAGCUGCAUAUCUUGACGUAGCGACAGAAGAAGCACCGGCUAACUCCGUGCCAGCAGCCGCGGUAAUACGGAGGGUGCGAGCGUUAAUCGGAAUUACUGGGCGUAAAGCGCAUGCAGGUGGUUCAUUAAGUCAGAUGUGAAAGCCCG
RNAcentral lists this ribosomal RNA (560 nucleotides) under Aliivibrio salmonicida. Its description in RNAcentral is "bacterial SSU rRNA". It matches the Rfam family "Bacterial small subunit ribosomal RNA", at positions 47 to 604 of the family's 1533-position model. The record is from RNAcentral. Lineage: Bacteria; Pseudomonadati; Pseudomonadota; Gammaproteobacteria; Vibrionales; Vibrionaceae.